Molecule: ribosomal RNA, 902 nt
Filed under: Stutzerimonas stutzeri
Lineage: Bacteria; Pseudomonadati; Pseudomonadota; Gammaproteobacteria; Pseudomonadales; Pseudomonadaceae
Description: bacterial SSU rRNA
Rfam family: Bacterial small subunit ribosomal RNA
Source: RNAcentral
CUUUCAUAUGAGCCUAUGUCGGAUUAGCUAGUUGGGGAGGUAAAGGCUCACCAAGGCGACGAUCCGUAACUGGGCUGAGAAGAUGAUCCUUCCCACUGGAACUGAGACACGGUCCAGACUCCUACGGAAGGCAGCAGUGGGGAAUAUUGGACGAUGGGCGAAAGCCUGAUCCACCCAUGCCGCGUGUGUGAAUAAGGGCUUCGGAUUGUAAAGCACUUUAAGUUGGGAGGAAGGGCAGAAAGUUAAUACCUUGCUGUUUUGACGUUACCAACAAAAUAAGCACCGGCUAACUUCGUGCCAGCAGCCGCGGUAAUACGAAGGGUGCAAGCGUUAAUCGGAAUUACUGGGCGUAAAGCGCGCGUACGUGGUUCGUUAAGUUGGAUGUGAAAGCCCCGGGCUCAGCCUGGGAACUGCAUCCAAAACUGGCGAGCUAGAGUAUGGCAGAGGGUGGUGGAAUUUCCUGUGUAGCGGCGAAAUGCGUAGAUUUAGGAGGGAACACCAGUGGAGAAGGCGACCACCUGGGCUAAUACUGACACUGAGGUGCCAAAGCGUGGGGAGCAAACAGGAUUAUAUACCCUGGAAGUCCACGCCGUAAACUAUGUCUACUAGCCGUUGGAUCCUUGAGAUCUUAGUGGCGCAGCUAACACUUUAAGUCGACCGCCUGGGGAGUACGGCCCAAGGUUAAACUCAGAUGAGUUGACGGGGGCCCGCACAAUUGGCGGAGCAUGUGGUUUAUUCCGAAGCAAUGUCCAGAACCUUAGCAGGGCCUGACGUGCAGAGCAGCUUUCCCAAGAUGGAUUGUGCCUUCGGAACUUCUGAUACAAGCUGCUGCAUAGCUGAGGCAGCUCCUGUCGUACAUGAUUGCGUAUGUCCGGAAGAACGAUACCCUUGUCUUAAUACCA